This 335-nucleotide long non-coding RNA is filed under the name Coccomyxa subellipsoidea. Its description in RNAcentral is "long non-coding RNA (CSUB_LNC000323)". Lineage: Eukaryota; Viridiplantae; Chlorophyta; Trebouxiophyceae; Coccomyxaceae. The record is from RNAcentral.
CUUGCAAGAGUGUGGUUGAUCUCUUCAAAGUGCCACAAUCCUCCCCGUCCAACAGUUUUGUCCUGUUCAAGGACACGUGAGAAGGUUGUGGUUUCUUGUUCUCGACAUUGCCAAUGACCUGUGAUACUUCCAUUAGCAUUAAUUACGCCAUUGAAGCAUGCGCACCCAUCCCAACGCUGCAAUGAGGAUCGUUUCUCGUUGAUGUUGAGCUCCAAUGUGUCAUCAACUUCAACAUGGGCACCCUGAUCUCGCAGCAAACGCAAUAUCAGAUACCCUGACAGGUGCCAGUCUUCCAUGGUCUCAUACAUUCAAUGAAAUGGCAACGCAAUAUUGUC